AAGGGAGAGGAAUAAGUAGAAAUCUACCCUCGGAUCGGGGAUAGCGGCGGGAAACUGCCGGUAAUACCCGAUAACGUCUUUGGACCAAAGGUGUGAUUCCGUCUGAGGAUGAGUCUACUUCCUAUUAGCUAGUUGGCGGGGUAAUGGCCCACCAAGGCAACGAUGGGUAGCAGGUGUGAGAGCAUGACCUGCCUCAUUGGGACUGAGACACUGCCCAGACACCUACGGGUGGCUGCAGUCGAGAAUCUUCGGCAAUGGACGAAAGUCUGACCGAGCGACGCCGCGUGCGGGAUGAAGGCCUUCGGGUUGUAAACCGCUGUCGGAGGGGAACAAAUGUACGGGGGUUCUCCCCUGUAUUUGAGUGAACCUAGGAGGAGGGAGAGGCUAAGCUCGUGCCAGCAGCCGCGGUAAGACGAGCUCUCCGAACGUUAUUCGGUAUCACUGGGCUUAAAGAGUUCGUAGGCGGUCUGGUAGGUGAGGUGUGAAAUCCCCCGGCUCAACCGGGGAACUGCGCUUCAAACCGCCGGACUUGAGGGAGACAGAGGUGGGCGGAACAGAUGGUGGAGCGGUGAAAUGCGUUGA
RNAcentral lists this ribosomal RNA (582 nucleotides) under uncultured bacterium. Its description in RNAcentral is "bacterial SSU rRNA". It matches the Rfam family "Bacterial small subunit ribosomal RNA", at positions 102 to 694 of the family's 1533-position model. The record is from RNAcentral.